GACGAACGCUGGUGGCGUGCUUAACACAUGCAAGUCGAACGGAAAGGCCCUGCUUGCAGGGUACUCGAGUGGCGAACGGGUGAGUAACACGUGGGUGAUCUGCCCUGCACUUCGGGAUAAGCCUGGGAAACUGGGUCUAAUACCGGAUAUGACCUUCCAUGUAGUGUGGGGGGUGGAAAGAUUUAUCGGUGUGGGAUGAGCCCGCGGCCUAUCAGCUUGUUGGUGGGGUAAUGGCCUACCAAGGCGUCGACGGGUAGCCGGCCUGAGAGGGUGGACGGCCACAUUGGGACUGAGAUACGGCCCAGACUCCUACGGGAGGCAGCAGUGGGGAAUAUUGCACAAUGGGCGGAAGCCUUAUGCAGCGACGCCGCGUGGGGGAUGACGGCCUUCGGGUUGUAAACCUCUUUCGACAGGGACGAAGCUUCGGUGACGGUACCUGUAUAAGAAGCACCGGCUAACUACGUG
This 465-nucleotide ribosomal RNA is filed under the name uncultured bacterium. Its description in RNAcentral is "partial 16S ribosomal RNA". It matches the Rfam family "Bacterial small subunit ribosomal RNA", at positions 28 to 507 of the family's 1533-position model. The record is from RNAcentral.